CAGCCGCCGCGGUAAUACGGAGGGUGCAAGCGUCAAUCGGAAUUACUGGGCGUAAAGCGUGCGUAGGCGGUUUGUUAAGUCUGUUGUGAAAUCCCCGGGCUCAACCUGGGAAUGGCAAUGGAUACUGGCAAGCUAGAGUGUGUCAGAGGAUGGUGGAAUUCCCGGUGUAGCGGUGAAAUGCGUAGAGAUCGGGAGGAACAUCAGUGGCGAAGGCGGCCAUCUGGGACAACACUGACGCUGAGGCACGAAAGCGUGGGGAGCAAACAGGAUUAGAGACCCGUGUAGUCCCUGUCUCUUAUAA
This 301-nucleotide ribosomal RNA is filed under the name uncultured bacterium. RNAcentral's name for it is "partial 16S ribosomal RNA". It matches the Rfam family "Bacterial small subunit ribosomal RNA", at positions 509 to 809 of the family's 1533-position model. The record is from RNAcentral.